UCCUACGGGGGGCAGCAGUGGGGGAUAUUGCACAAUGGGGGAAACCCUGAUGCAGCGACGCCGCGUGGGUGAAGAAGCGCCUCGGCGCGUAAAGCCCUGUCAGCAGGGAAGAAAAUGACGGUACCUGAAGAAGAAGCCCCGGCUAACUACGUGCCAGCAGCCGCGGUAAUACGUAGGGGGCAAGCGUUAUCCGGAUUCAUUGGGCGUAAAGCGCGCGUAGGCGGCCGCCUAAGCGGGACCUCUAACCCCGGGGCUCAACCCCGGGCCGGGUCCCGGACUGGGCGGCUCGA
This 290-nucleotide ribosomal RNA is filed under the name uncultured bacterium. Its description in RNAcentral is "partial 16S ribosomal RNA". It matches the Rfam family "Bacterial small subunit ribosomal RNA", at positions 337 to 645 of the family's 1533-position model. The record is from RNAcentral.